Molecule: ribosomal RNA, 513 nt
Filed under: uncultured bacterium
Lineage: Bacteria
Description: partial 16S ribosomal RNA
Rfam family: Bacterial small subunit ribosomal RNA
Source: RNAcentral
AUUGAACGCUGACGACAUGCCUAACACAUGCAAGUCGAACGGCAGCACAGUAAAGAUUUCGGUCUUUAUGGGUGGCGAGUGGCGGACGGGUGAGUAAUGCGUAGGAAUCUGUCCUGGAGAGUAGGAUAACCCGAGGAAACUCGGGCUAAUACUGCAUGAUAUCGAGAGAUCAAAGGCAGGGGACCCUUAGGGGCCUUGCGCUCUAGGAUGAGCCUACGUCGGAUUAGCUAGUUGGUGGGGUAAAGGCCUACCAAGGCGACGAUCCGUAGCUGGUCUGAGAGGAUGACCAGCCACACUGGGACUGAGACACGGCCCAGACUCCUACGGGAGGCAGCAGUGGGGAAUCUUGGACAAUGGGGGAAACCCUGAUCCAGCGAUGCCGCGUGUGUGAAGAAGGCCUUCGGGUUGUAAAGCACUUUAGCUGGGGAAGAAAAGUAAUGAGUGAAUAACUGAUUGCUCUGACGGUACCCAAAGAAUAAGCACCGGCUAACUCUGUGCCAGCCGCCGCCGUAA